GGUCUAACCGGGAAAUGCGUCUGAUACUGAUGUCUGAGUUCGGAGACGAUGCGACUCCUGAUGCAUCGUGAAUUGGUAGAUAUCUGCAGAACACUGAUGCGAUGGCGCAUCUGGUUCAACACUCAGUUCAGAGCGAAAGCCAGAGGAGCAAACGGGAUCAGAUACUCCUGUAGUCAUGUCCGUAUACGACGAAUGCUCGUUGAGUCGGGUAUCGAUCCCUGCCGUGCAGAAGCUACCGCAUUAAGCAUUCUGCCUGGGGAGUACGGUCGCAGUUCUGAUACUCAAAAGAUUUGACGGGGGCCUGCACAAGCGGUGGAGCAUGUGGAUCAAUUCGACGCAACGCGAAGAACCUUAGCCAGGCUUGAACAGCGAGUGAGCACUCUCUAAAGUGAGCUUCCGCAAGGACACUCGUAGAGGUGCUGCAUGGCUGUCAUCAGCUCGUGUAGUGAGAUGUUGGGUUAAGUCCCGCAUCGAGCGCAACCCUUGUCGUCGUCAGCCAUCAGGUUAUGCUGGGCACUCUGGAGAGACUGCCGGUGAUAAACCGGAGGAAGGUGGGGAAGACGUCAAGUCAGCAUGGCCUUUAUGUCUGGGGCUACACACGUGUUCCAAUGGCCGGCACAAACCGUCGCGAGCCCGCGAGGGGGAGCUAAUCCGAGAAAGUCGGUCUCAGUUCGGAUAGCCGGCUGCAACCUGCCUGCUUGAAAAAGGAAUCGCUCGUAAUCGAGGAUCAGCACGCCGCGGUGAAUACGUUCCCGGGCCUUGUACACACCGCCCGUCACAUCACGAAAGCCGGUUGUACUAGAAGUUGCCACACCAACCCGCAAGGGAGGGAGGCGCCUAAGGUAUGGUCGGUGAUUGGGGUGAAGUCGUAACAAGGUAACC
This 882-nucleotide ribosomal RNA is filed under the name uncultured soil bacterium. RNAcentral describes it as "bacterial SSU rRNA". It matches the Rfam family "Bacterial small subunit ribosomal RNA", at positions 606 to 1501 of the family's 1533-position model. The record is from RNAcentral.